GCCGGGCUGCUGUAAAAAUGCAAACCAAUGCAUUUUUCCCCUGGAAAGGGGUUGGCAGCAAGCGGUAUCAUGCAAAAUGCAGGGAUACCGCAGAAGUGCCAGCAUAUAGCUGGUAAA
Molecule: small RNA, 117 nt
Filed under: unclassified sequences
Description: Mahella-1 RNA
Rfam family: Mahella-1 RNA
Source: Rfam by way of RNAcentral